RNAcentral lists this ribosomal RNA (446 nucleotides) under uncultured bacterium. Its description in RNAcentral is "partial 16S ribosomal RNA". It matches the Rfam family "Bacterial small subunit ribosomal RNA", at positions 338 to 795 of the family's 1533-position model. The record is from RNAcentral.
CCUACGGGUGGCAGCAGUCGAGAAUCAUUCACAAUGGGGGAAAGCCUGAUGGUGCGAUGCCGCGUGGGGGAAUGAAGGUCUUCGGAUUGUAAACCCCUGUCAUGUGGGAGCAAAUUAAAUAGAUAGUACCACAUGAGGAAGAGACGGCUAACUCUGUCCCAGCAGUCGCGGUAAUACAGAGGUCGCAAGCGUUGUUCGGAAUCACUGGGCGUAAAGCGUGCGGAGGCUGUUUGGUAAGUCGGGUGUGAAAGGCGCGGGCUCAACCCGCGGAGAGCAGAUGAUACUGCGAGACUAGAGUAAGGGAGGGGGAAGCGGAAUUCUCGGUGUAGCAGUGAAAUGCGUAGAUAUCGAGAAGAACACUCGUGGCGAAGGCGGGUUCCUGGACAUUAACUGACGCUGAGGCACGAAGGCCAGGGGAGCGAAAGGGAUUAGAUACCCCAGUAGUC